UGGGGAAUAUUGGACAAUGGGCGCAAGCCUGAUCCAGCCAUGCCGCGUGAGUGAUGAAGGCCCUAGGGUUGUAAAGCUCUUUCACCGGUGAAGAUAAUGACGGUAACCGGAGAAGAAGCCCCGGCUAACUUCGUGCCAGCAGCCGCGGUAAUACGAAGGGGGCUAGCGUUGUUCGGAUUUACUGGGCGUAAAGCGCACGUAGGCGGACUUUUAAGUCAGGGGUGAAAUCCCGGGGCUCAACCCCGGAACUGCCUUUGAUACGGGAAGUCUUGAGUAUGGUAGAGGUGAGUGGAAUUCCGAGUGUAGAGGUGAAAUUCGUAGAGAUUCGGAGGAACACCAGUGGCGAAGGCGGCUCACUGGACCAUUACUGACGCUGAGGUGCGAAAGCGUGGGGAGCAAACAGG
Molecule: ribosomal RNA, 404 nt
Filed under: Actinomycetes bacterium
Lineage: Bacteria; Bacillati; Actinomycetota; Actinomycetes
Description: Actinobacteria bacterium partial 16S ribosomal RNA
Rfam family: Bacterial small subunit ribosomal RNA
Source: RNAcentral